RNAcentral lists this ribosomal RNA (253 nucleotides) under uncultured prokaryote. Its description in RNAcentral is "partial 16S ribosomal RNA". It matches the Rfam family "Bacterial small subunit ribosomal RNA", at positions 524 to 776 of the family's 1533-position model. The record is from RNAcentral.
AACGUAGGACGCAAGCGUUAUCCGGAGUUACUGGGCGUAAAGCGCGGGCAGGCGGCUCGUCAAGUGGGAUGUGAAAGCGCCCGGCUAAACCGGGCGAGGCCAUUCCAAACUGAUGGGCUGGAGGGCAGUAGAGGUAGGCGGAAUUCCGGGUGGAGUGGUGAAAUGCGUAGAGAUCCGGAGGAACACCAGAGGCGAAGGCGGCCUACUGGGCUGCACCUGACGCUGAGCCGCGAAAGCCAGGGGAGCGAACGGG